RNAcentral lists this ribosomal RNA (1815 nucleotides) under human gut metagenome. Its description in RNAcentral is "bacterial LSU rRNA". It matches the Rfam family "Bacterial large subunit ribosomal RNA", at positions 506 to 2200 of the family's 2925-position model. The record is from RNAcentral.
AGGGAAAGGUGAAAAGCACCCCGGGAGGGGAGUGAAACAGUUCCUGAAACCGUGCGCCCACAAACCGUCGGAGCCUCCGCGUGGGGUGACGGCGUGCCUAUCGAAAAAUGAGUCUGCGAGUCAGUGGCGGGUGGCGAGCAUAAGCCGUGUGGCGUAUGCGUAGCGAAAGCGAGUCUUAAAAGGCGUUUGUAGUCGCUUGUCCUGGACCCGAAGCGGGAUGAUCUAGCCCUGGGCAGGUUGAAGCGCGGGUAAGACCGCGUGGAGGACCGAACCCACCUGGGUUGAAAACCGGGGGGAUGACCUGGGGCUAGGGGUGAAAGGCCAAUCAAAUUCCGUGAUAGCUGGUUCUCUCCGAAAUGCAUUUAGGUGCAGCGUCGGUCGAUUGCGUCGCGGGGGUAGAGCUACCGGAUGCUUGCGGGCCCUUGUUGGGUACCAACAGCAGCCGAACUCCGAAUGCCGUUGACGUGUAUUCCGGCAGUGAGUCGGCGGGGGAUAAGCUCCGUCGUCGAGAGGGAGACAGCCCAGACCGUCGUCUAAGGUCCCGAAGCGUGUGCUAAGUGGGAAAGGAUGUGGAGUCGCAUAGACAGCCAGGAGGUUGGCUCAGAAGCAGCCAUCCUUGAAAGAGUGCGUAACAGCUCACUGGUCUAGUGGUUCCGCGCCGACAAUGUAGCGGGGCUCAAGCACGCCACCGAAGACGCGGCAGCGUCCGUUUGGAUGCUGGGUAGGAGAGCGUCCCCAUCGGGGCGAAGCGGCGGCGCAAGCCUGCCGUGGACCGUUGGGGAGUGAGAAUGCAGACAUGAGUAGCGAGAGGCGGGUGCGAAUCCCGCCCGCUGGAUGACCAAGGGUUCCGGGGCCACGUUCGUCGUCCCCGGGUGAGUCGGGUCCUAAGGCGAGGCCGACAGGCGUAGUCGAAUGGAUGAACGGGUGGAUAUUCCCGUACCGACCAUGGACCGGCAAAACCGAGACGGUGAGUACUAACCUCCGCCUCGUGGUGGUUCCUUCCUUCGGGUUGGUUCCGCCGCGUGGUGUUGGGAGCGUAGCCGCAGUAGGUCAGCGCAGGGGUGACACGGAAUGGGAGCCGGCCGCGGAGGUGGUUUUCCGUGGUCAAGCACGCAGCCAGUCAUGUAGGCAAAUCCGCAUGGCGCGCAUGGCGAGGUGUGAUGAUGGGAGCCGUUAUGGUUCGAUAUCCGGUUGUCCAGGCCGUCGAGAAAAGCCUCGGCGUGAGGGCCAUGGCCGCCCGUACCCCAAACCGACACUGGUGGUCAGGUAGAGAAUACCAAGGCGAUCGAGCGAAUCCUGGUCAAGGAACUCGGCAAAUCACUCCCGUGCCUUCGGUAUAAGGGAGACCCACUGGGGUGAAGGACCUUGCGUCCGGAGCUUUGGUGGGUGGCACAGACCAGGGGGUAGCGACUGUUUACCAAAAACACAGGUGCAUGCGAAGGCGAAAGCCGCUGUAUAUGCACUGACGCCUGCCCGGUGCCGGAAGGUUAAGAGGAUCCGUCAAUCCUUCGGGAUGAAGCGGUGAAUUCAAGCCCCGGUAAACGGCGGUGGUAACUAUAACCAUCCUAAGGUAGCGAAAUUCCUUGUCGGGUAAGUUCCGACCUGCACGAAUGGCGUAACGACUUCCCCACUGUCUCGACCAGGAGCUCGGCGAAAUUGCAGUACGAGUAAAGAUGCUCGUUAAGCGCAGAAGGACGAAAAGACCCCGGGACCUUUACUAUACCUUGGUAUUGGCAUUAGGCGCGGAUUGUGUAGCAUAGGCGGGAGGCUUCGAGGCGGGUGCGCCAGCAUCCGCGGAGCCGCAAGGUGAAAUAC